RNAcentral lists this ribosomal RNA (254 nucleotides) under uncultured bacterium. RNAcentral describes it as "partial 16S ribosomal RNA". It matches the Rfam family "Bacterial small subunit ribosomal RNA", at positions 524 to 776 of the family's 1533-position model. The record is from RNAcentral.
UACGAGGGGGGCAAAUGUUGUUCGGAAUCACUGGGCGUAAAGGGCGCGUAGGCGGUCGUGACAAGUCACUUGUGAAAUCUCCGGGCUUAACUCGGAACGGUCAAGUGAUACUGUCGGACUAGAGUACAGAAGGGGCAACUGGAAUUCCUGGUGUAGCGGUGGAAUGCGCAGAUAUCAGGAGGAACACCGAUGGCGAAGGCAGGUCUCUGGGCCAUUACUGACACUGAGAAGCGAAAGCAUGGGGAGCGAACAGG